This 492-nucleotide ribosomal RNA is filed under the name uncultured bacterium. Its description in RNAcentral is "partial 16S ribosomal RNA". It matches the Rfam family "Bacterial small subunit ribosomal RNA", at positions 29 to 507 of the family's 1533-position model. The record is from RNAcentral.
AGUGAACGCUGGCGGUAGGCCUAACACAUGCAAGUCGAACGGCAGCACAGUAAGAGCUUGCUCUUACGGGUGGCGAGUGGCGGACGGGUGAGGAAUACAUCGGAAUCUACUUUUUCGUGGGGGAUAACGUAGGGAAACUUACGCUAAUACCGCAUACGACCUACGGGUGAAAGCAGGGGAUCUUCGGACCUUGCGCGAUUGAAUGAGCCGAUGUCGGAUUAGCUAGUUGGCGGGGUAAAGGCCCACCAAGGCGACGAUCCGUAGCUGGUCUGAGAGGAUGAUCAGCCACACUGGAACUGAGACACGGUCCAGACUCCUACGGGAGGCAGCAGUGGGGAAUAUUGGACAGUGGGCGCAAGCCUGAUCCAGCCAGACCGCGUGGGUGAAGAAGGCCUUCGGGUUGUAAAGCCCUUUUGUUGGGAAAGAAAAGCAGCAGGUUAAUACCCCGCUGUUCUGACGGUACCCAAAGAAUAAGCACCGGCUAACUUCGUG